UAGCCGUAAACGAUACUCGCUAGGUGUCGGCCACGGUGCGACCGUUGUCGGUGCCGUAGGGAAGCCGUGAAGCGAGCCACCUGGGAAGUACGGCCGCAAGGCUGAAACUUAAAGGAAUUGGCGGGGGAGGCACAACAACGGGUGGGAGCUUGCGGUUUAAUUUGGAUUCAACGCCGGACAACUCACCAGGAGCGACGGUUACAUGAAGGCCAGGCUGAUGACCUUGCCUGAUUUUCCGUAGAGGAGGUGCAUGGCGUAGUCGUGU
This 265-nucleotide ribosomal RNA is filed under the name uncultured archaeon. RNAcentral describes it as "partial 16S ribosomal RNA". It matches the Rfam family "Archaeal small subunit ribosomal RNA", at positions 748 to 1009 of the family's 1478-position model. The record is from RNAcentral.